ACACCGAGGGAAUGGCAGCUGGAAAGAGAGGCACGCGACAGGCCUAAGGAGACCCGUGGCACGUAGCAGCUGCCCCCGGAACAGCGCCUGGGGGCUCUGCAGGCGCUGACCAGUUUCCCGGAGGCGGCGGCCGCGGACCCAGCACGGUCACCGUCGCCGCUGCCGAGAAGAGCCGUCGGGUCGCGAUGGGUGGACAGGCCUUCCGGGGGAGCGUCGCCCGGCACAUACCCUGACAGUCCCGACCGCAGACGCCAGGGAUGGGACAGGCUCCCGGGGAGCAUCUCCUGUUCCUCCUCCCUGACCGGCCUUCUUAGGCGCUGGGGAGGGGCCGGACUCCCGAGAAGCGUCCACUCGGCCACCCUCCCCGGCAGGCCCGACUUCAGACGCCGCGCGCCGGGACAGAGCGCCCGGGGAGGGUCCCCAACGCAGAUGCCCGGUUGCUGGGCGCGAGGGGCUCGGCCCCUGAAAAGGCCGCAGAACUGCGCUGGAAAUGAAUAAAAGCAGCCCGGUUUGAAACCAAGGCCGACGCAGGGCUUGGGAGGAGAGGCAAAGGAAAACCCUUACCUCAUGAUGGCAGCGCUCUGCAGGCCGUCCGGGCGGCGCAGUCCCUCGGAUCGCUCUCUCCUCAGCACCGGGGACCGCGGGAAGCCGCGCGGUGGGCGUGCGCGUGCGCGUGCGCGCGCCAGGCCUCUGCAGCCCCUGGACUCGGCCGCGCGGCGUGUCUUUGUUAAAGGAGAGACCCCAGCCCCAGCAAGAACAGGAAACUGGAGAUUGAAUCAGAUGCCGAGCGCUCAGAAACUGAAACUUAAGAAAUCGAAACUAAACUAGGUUUUUGGUCUUGGUGACUUCAAGAAUGAAGCUGCGGACUCUCGCUGUGAGUGCUACAGUUGUUAAAGAUGGCGUGUCUGGAGUUUGUUCCUUUCGAUGUUCAGAUGUGUCUGGAGUUUCUUCCUUCUGGUGAGUUCGUGGUCUUGCUGACUUCAGGAGUGCAGCUGCAGACCUUCACAGUGAGUGUUACAGAUCUUAAAGGUGGCGCGUCCGGAGUUGUUCGUUCCUCCCGGUGGGUUCGUGGUUUCACUGACUUCAGGAGUAAAGCCGUAGACCUUUGUGGUGAGUGUUACAGCUCAUAAAGGCAGUGUGGACCCAAAGAGUGAGCAGCAGCAAGAUUCGUUGCGAAGAGCGAAAGAACAAAACUUCCACGACGUGGAAGCAGACCCGAGCAGGUUGCCGCUGCUGGCUGGGGUGGCCUGCUUUUAUUCCCUUAUUUGGCUCCACCCAUAUCCUGCUGAUUGGUCCAUUUUACAGAGAGCUGAUUGGUCCACUUUACAAAGUGCUGAUUGGUCCAUUUUACAGAGUGCUGAUUGGUCCAUUUUACAGAGUGCUGAUUGGUCCAUUUUGACAGAGUGCUGAUUGGUGCGUUUACAAACUUUUAGCUACACACAGAGUGCUGAUUGGUGCGUUUACAAUCCUUUAGCUAGACAGAAAAGUUCUCUGAGUCCCCACCUGACCCAGAAGCCCAGCCAGCUUCACCUCUCAAUCCCCCCUCUAAACAGGACACCCCAAUUGCUGAUGGGAAUUUGGCUGAUGACUGCUCUAGCUACUUUCUGCUGGAUAGGGGCGAAGAAGGGGCCCUGUAGGUGUAGUGUCCUCCAGAGGGGAACUCUUUAGGCCAGUGGAAGGGCCAGCAGGUCAGUCCAGGGGUCCUCGGUAGAAGUUGUUAGUUGAACUCAUUUGGGGUUCCAUUUGUAAGACCAUCUGUAGCUUGAGGGCCUCAAUUCUAGAGGAAACAAAUUUGACAAGAAGGUUAAAAACACAGGGCCCAAAGACAAGUAACAGCAAGAUGGCUGCCACAGGACCUAGAAAGGGGAG
RNAcentral lists this long non-coding RNA (1869 nucleotides) under Homo sapiens (human). Its description in RNAcentral is "HSALNT0359181". Lineage: Eukaryota; Metazoa; Chordata; Mammalia; Primates; Hominidae. The record is from RNAcentral.